Molecule: ribosomal RNA, 370 nt
Filed under: Papilio fuscus talyabona
Lineage: Eukaryota; Metazoa; Arthropoda; Insecta; Lepidoptera; Papilionidae
Description: partial 16S ribosomal RNA
Source: RNAcentral
UAUUUUGACUGUACAAAGGUAGCAUAAUCAAUAGUCUCUUAAUUGGUGACUUGUAUGAAAGAUUGGAUGAGAUAUAUACUGUCUCUAAUUAAUUUAUUGAAAUUAAUUUUUUAGUAAAAAAGCUAAAAUAAUUUUAAAAGACGAGAAGACCCUAUAGAGUUUAAUAAUUUAUUUAAUUAUUAUUAAUAUAUAAUUUUUAAAAUUAAAAUUAAAUAAAUUAUUUUGUUGGGGUGAUAAAAAAAUUAAAUUAACUUUUUUUAAUUAUUAACAUUAAUUUAUGAAUAAAUGAUCCAUUUAUAGUGAUUAAAAGAAAAAAUUACCUUAGGGAUAACAGCGUAAUUUUUUUUUUUAGUUCAAAUAGGAAAAAAAG